AUUUGGUGCAACCUAGCAGAUUUGCCCGUUUGAGGGUGUUGUAUAAUCCUUCUCUCACCACCAAUACUUCCAAUUGGUAUCCUUUUGAGAGAAAUCCACUCUGCGUUGUGUUUUUAAUAGUGAAUGUAAUAUCCCUGUGUCACCUCUUCCAAGAACUAACAUAUAUCUUUAUCCCCUUAUCCAGAUAAAUAUAUGACUAGCACUACUAAGGUAUUCUACCCAAUAUUACAAAUAAACAGCCAACACCAUAGUUCUUACCAGAGAGAAAGCUUUACUUAGAAUCUGCCCAAUUCAAUAUUACAGAAGAAGAAUGUUACAGAGUUAUAGUAUUACAGUUACAAUACAUUCAUAACACUCAUACAUUCCAUCUAAUACUAUCUGCUACAUUGUGUAUAAUAAUAUCUGCUACAUUGUGUAUGUGCUGUGCAAUGUUAUGUGCAGCAUGUGUGUCUUACCAAACCUAAUCUAACGUCAUGUCAGUAUCUUCUAUUUUUAAAGGAAUUGGUUCCCAUGUUGUAAAUAGCAAAUUUCUCAGCUCAAUUGAUAUGGAAAUGUGAUUUACUUUCCCAAGGCCCAAAGUGUUGUCUAUCCUGUUAUUUUAUUUAAGUGUUAACUUUCCCAGCCAUCCCUUUUCCUCUAACCCAAGGUGUGUUUUCCUAUAUAGGGACUCCUUUGAAGACCAGUUAAUAUGUAAAUGUGAUUGGUGCCUUUCAGGUGCUGUAUCUUUUCAGCUAUCUAAACAGAAACUCCCUUUUAAGAUAAUUCCUGACCUCCCAUACACACAGACUUAAUCAAGCACAUAUUAAACAGAUAUAUACAUAAUAUUUUCCCCAACACUCCCCCACUUGAAUAAGAUCUAAUAAGGAGAUUAUUCACAUACAGCCCCGCCUCCCACUCUGAUUUCUGUAUAUUAAAAAAAAAAUCCAAAAAAAAAAAAAAAAAAAUCAAGGGAAGACAUAAACCCACACAUAUAUUUUAUAUCCGUAAAAUGGAUGUGAGCUCUAAUUUUUCCUGCUUUGUAUGGAUUUUUUUUAGUUCUUUCCUCCAACAGCAAUAUAAAAUGAAUAGAGAACAGAUUAAAACAAAUUGUAGACAAACAAAUAUUACAGAAGCUGUUCUUAAUCCUGGGUGUGUGUAAGUAUUGUAGGGUAUGCUCCACCAGGGCUCUUGAAAACUAUUUGUUAAAUCAUUAAAGCUAGCUACAUUUUCCUUCACCAGCUCUUGCAAUUGCACAACCCUUCGAUUAUUUCUUUUAAAUAAUGUAUCCAAAUCUACAUUAAGUGGUGGGAUUUUCUUAAAAAGUGAGGGAGCCAUUUUAUUCCAAUUUCCUAGAUCUUCCUGUACCACGUCCAUAGAUCUUUGUGUGAGUUGGAUAUUGGCUCUUAUGACCUCUUUGCCCACUUUCAUGGAGCCAUAGGUAAGAUUAACACACCAUCCUGUUGGGGGUACCCUACAUUGUAUUGUUUGCUGCCACAGAACUGAAGAUACUCCCAGUGCGCAGAUCGUGGGACCCUGUCCGUGCACCACUCUUUUCCAACCAUUUAGGGGUUUGUGAAGGUGAACAGGGCAGCUCCCUGAGUUUUCCACCAUGCACCCAUCUGCCUGGACUAGUGGUUCUAGUACACAGGAACAAAGCCAAGCAUUACCACAUCUGUCACAGCAACUGGGGUUGAUAACUUUCCAGAACUGGUCUUCUUUUAUUACUAAGCGAGUUUGUGGAAGGAAUUGCUUUAAAACAUUAGUGCGAUUAGCCACUUCCAACUCACCAAACAUAGUCAUCUUAUAAACAGGUACAGGCUGUUCUGUCCAAACUGGAAUGUAAAUUAUUAAUGGAAUUACCUUCUUUCCUAAUUUGCACUUAUUGCACCAACUCUGCAGACCUUUAAUUUUGGAAAGGACUACAUUCUGACAAUCUAUGCCAUAUUCCCUAACCAGAUCAAAGACUAGGGUAGAAUUGAUUAUUCUGGGCCAUUCCCCUCGUUUUAUUUCUUGGAGGCCUAAAUUUCGAUGUUCGUCUAGUAAAUUUCCAACUAUACCACAUACCAUAGUGUGACAGAUUCAUCUGCAUUGUUGGUUCGUCUGUUUCCCUUUGUUCGCGGAAUUGCCUGUUCAUAUAACCCCGUUCGUGCAAUUUGCAAAAUGCCGAUUGAAACUACCGAACGAACGACCACCCAGGAGAGGAGUGUGCUGCUGGUUAACCUCUUGGCCCCAAUUAGAACAUUGUGGUUAACCGCAGACACCUCUCCAUUCCAUUCGUAUGGGUGGUCGUCGUUCGCAUGUCGACCACGAGGCAGCGGCCAUUUUGGGACAUACGAACACAGAGCGGUGUUCGGUACAAACUGUAUGGAACUAAAAACUGUCACUUAAACUACCGAACACCGCUGAAAAGCUGCUGCCUACCUUCCUUUUCGACAAGGCAUGCGAACGUCGGUCGUUCGGGAGUUUUAUUCAUUCGUAUGGACUUUUACCCCGACAGCCAUCCCAUGGAGUCAUUCGUAUACCGAAGGACUGGUGCAAGACUUUGACUCCAUGGCGAUUCGACUAGAUACAUCGGAUCUGAGCGCUGUUCGGUGAAAACAUGCCCUCAGAUCCAGGCUGUCUGGGGAUACGUUACACGAACCAUAUGCAUUCGGUAUUUCUGUCGUUAUGUAUUUUAAUGUAUUUUUGUUACUGUAAGCUAAAAUGGCGAUUGUCUCUACCUUGGGAGAUAAUUAGGUUUCUUCCUAAUUAUCUCCAGGGUAGAGAAGACGGAUUUGUGGGUAAGAUGGGAAGGGCUAUUAUUGAAGCCACUGCGAUUGGCUACUGUCCAAUAUGUUUUACAGUCUUCCACAAGGUCCCCUCGGGGAGUGUCCACCUUGUGGAGACCUGCAUAAAUACCGGGCAGGUAGCCCCCAUUAAACAGAACUUCAUUUGACCCUCAAGACGGAGCUUGGUCUCGUUUGUGGGGGAAUUAUUACUGGGACAGCGCUUUCGUUAUUUCUAGCUGUGGAAGGCGUUCGACUGUUUGGCUGAUUGGGAGUUGCCGUGUUCGUGGACUUCGUUCGGGAGUUUGGCGAUCGGCUGGAUUUAAACUGCAUUUCUGGAGAAGGGGAUUAUUGCCUAAACGGCAGCUUCAUCUACCCGACGGUACGUGUCGUAACAAUUGGUGGCAGCGGUGGGAUGAAUCCUACAGCCCAGAAGGCCAGCUACACAUCCCAGGUUGGAAAUGCAGUAUGAGGAGUUAAGGCGUGCUACCCUUAAAGAUAUAUUGGAGCGCAGAGGACGAUCAGCGAGUAAUCUCAAGAAAAGAGAGAUUAUUGCCAUACUAUUGGAAAUGGAUGCAGCACAGGGAACGGGGGGAGCGGAUGUGCCUGGCAUGCUGGAGUUAACACCCGAGGAGAUGCAGUUUAACCGGGCAGUUCAGAUCAGGCUGGCACAUUUUGGCCCCAACCCCGCAGCAGAUAUUGUGGUGCAAGUACAAGCGGCAGUAGCAGCACAACAGGCGCUUCAAGGAAGAGGCGCUGCAGCAGCUGAGGUACCGUAUAAUAAUAAUGGAAGGAGAAAAGUACCUUUUGCUGCAUUUCGGAACUUUGUAGAAGCCGAAGGAGAAAUUGAUGGGUUCCUGGCGGAUUUUGAAAGGCAAUGUGCCUUACACCAGGUACCCGCAGGAGAAUGGGUCCCCAUCCUCUCUGGGAAGUUAUCCGGCCGGGCCAGUGAGGCGUUUCGGGCCAUCCCAGAGGAGGAACUUACCAGCUACAGGGCAGUGAAAGAUGCCCUUUUGGCCAGAUAUGCUGUGACCCCGGAGGCAUACCGGCGGCGAUUCCGGGACACUAACAAGCAGGCUGGUGAUUCUUAUGUUGAGUGGGCAUGCCGAGUACACCGCACCGCAGCCCACUGGAUGGCAGGGUGCCAAGCGGUAACUGGGGAAGAGGUGCUGCAAGUGUUUUUGUUGGAGCACUGUUUUGACCGCUUACCCGUAGGAGUCAGAGAGUGGGUUAGGGACCGCAAACCCGCUACCUUACCCGAAGCUGCUCGUCUGGCUGAUGAGUACACUGACGCCAGGAAACUGGACCAGACAGCAGCCAAGGUCCCUACCCGAGUGGAGUACAAACCAGCAGCCCCUCCAACCGCUGCAGUGUAUCAACACCCAGCACAACGCACCCCCACCAUGCCAACAGCGAACAAUUACGUUCAGCCAGCCCGGUUCAACGGCCGGGAUUACUCCCAGCCGAUCCGUUGCUAUGGGUGUAAGCAGUUGGGGCACAAGCGACCCGAGUGCCCAUUAAACAAUUCGAGCCAAGCACAGUCGUGGAGAAGACCAGCCGGCGGAAACCAGCAGCCACCCCAACCUUCCGCUCACUGUCUGGAGCAGGAGGAAUUUUGGGGUAUAUUACAUGAGGCGGAUCCGGUCCAAGCAGCGCAGCAGGAUAACCGUCAACAGCACAGGCAGACCGUUAAACUAAAUGGCAAAGCGGUAACUGGACUGAGAGACACCGGAGCCACUAUGACUUUGCUCCAAAAGAACCUUGUGUCCGAACACCAACACACUGGAGAUACUGUGGCAGUGAGGGUGGCGGGAGGUGCAGUGUUCCGUUUACCGGUUGCCCGGGUUCACUUGGAUUGGGGGGUGGGCUCUGGACCCGUGAAUGUGGGGGUCAUGAAAGACUUACCGGCCGAUGUUUUACUUGGGAAUGACUUGGCCCCUUUGGUGUCCGCUCAUGCUCCAAUGGGACCUGCCGCUAUCAACCCAGUGACUACCCGUGCCCAGACCCGUGCUGCUGGAACCAGCCCACCUGCUGCUGAGACCCAGGUAAGGACCAAGUCCCCGACUGGUACCCGAGAACAGACUUUUGUUAACUGGGAUUCCCCAGAGGAGUUUGGGAGGGAAACUCAGACAGAUUCGACCCUCCAGAAGUAUAGGGACAGAGCAGAUACUGGAGAGGAAGGAUUAGAUGGGGAACGGUAUGAGUGGGUGUGGGACAGGUUAUAUAGGAUCCCCAAGCUUUCCCCGAAGAGUGUUGCCCCUCCGCCGACUCGACAGCUGGUGGUGCCCGCGAAAUACCGGCAGGAGAUUCUGCGGAUAGGGCAUGAUGUUCCCCUAGCUGGACAUCUAGGUUCCCGCCGCACAGCCUAUAGGAUCAUGCAGAACUUUUUUUGGCCAAACUUCAAUCAGGCUGUGCGGACAUACUGCAGUACGUGUGACACAUGUCAACGGAUAGGGAAGCGGGGGGACCACCCAAGAGCUAGGCUUAUGUCUAUGCCUAUCAUUGGGGAGCCCUUUGCCCGCAUAGCCGUUGACAUUGUGGGUCCACUGGCCAGGGCUAGUCCAUCCGGUAAGAAAUAUAUUCUCACCGUGGUGGAUUAUGCCACUCGCUAU
This 5356-nucleotide long non-coding RNA is filed under the name Pelobates cultripes (western spadefoot toad). Lineage: Eukaryota; Metazoa; Chordata; Amphibia; Anura; Pelobatidae. The record is from RNAcentral.